UGCAUAUCAAUAAGCGGAGGAAAAGAAACCAACAGGGAUUGCCCUAGUAACGGCGAGUGAAGCGGCAACAGCUCAAAUUUGAAAUCUGGCCUCGGCCCGAGUUGUAAUUUGCAGAGGAUGCUUCUGGCGCGGUGCCUUCCGAGUUCCCUGGAACGGGACGCCACAGAGGGUGAGAGCCCCGUAUGGUCGGACACCAAGCCUGUGUGAAGCUCCUUCGACGAGUCGAGUAGUUUGGGAAUGCUGCUCUAAAUGGGAGGUAAAUCUCUUCUAAAGCUAAAUACCGGCCAGAGACCGAUAGCGCACAAGUAGAGUGAUCGAAAGAUGAAAAGCACCUUGAAAAGGGGGUUAAAUAGUACGUGAAAUUGUUGAAAGGGAAGCACUUAUGACCAGACUUGGGCCGGGCGGCUCAUCAGGGGUUCUCCCCUGUGCACUCCGCCCGGCACAGGCCAGCAUCGGUUCUCGUGGGGGGAUAAGACCGUCAGGAACGUAGCACCCUCCGGGGUGUGUUAUAGCCUGGCGGACGAUACCCCCGUGGGGACCGAGGUCCGCGCUCCGCAAGGAUGCUGGCGUAAUGGUCAUCAGUGACCCGUCUUGAAACA
RNAcentral lists this small RNA (599 nucleotides) under Diaporthe sp. 2 NVL-2017. RNAcentral describes it as "eukaryotic LSU rRNA". It matches the Rfam family "Eukaryotic large subunit ribosomal RNA", at positions 37 to 661 of the family's 3401-position model. The record is from RNAcentral. Lineage: Eukaryota; Fungi; Ascomycota; Sordariomycetes; Diaporthales; Diaporthaceae.